CUUUAGCAACUAUUGCUAUCUUACCUCUUCGAGGUUCCGUAACAUCUUGUUCGAUGUUCUCAUAACUGCUUCUGAUCACUGAAAUGUGAUCAGCUGCAAUACCCCCACUAGUGCCCCCACUAUUUCUCAAUUUAAAGUGAAAUUUGUUUUUAUAUAAAUCAACUUCAUUUGAUUCUAUCACCAUUUUAGCAUAUAGGUCAUAAACCCUAUAAGCUUUACUAUCAAUUAUAUACUCAAUGAGUACAUAUUCAUAGGCUCUACUAGUGAGUUUAACUCUUUUGGUUUCUGGAAUUUAAACAUAGACCAGAUAAACUCAAGUUCUAAAAUAAGACAAAUUAGAUUGUCUUUUCUUCAAAAAUUCAUAAAUAGAAAUUUUGUUCUUGUGCUUGGCCACUCUACUUAGCACAAAACAAUCAAUUAAUAAAAUUUCACACACUAAUAUAAUGAGAUGCAAUGCCGAA
Molecule: long non-coding RNA, 461 nt
Filed under: Trifolium pratense (red clover)
Lineage: Eukaryota; Viridiplantae; Streptophyta; Magnoliopsida; Fabales; Fabaceae
Description: long non-coding RNA (TPRA_LNC008177)
Source: RNAcentral